Long non-coding RNA from Vespula pensylvanica (western yellowjacket), 2037 nucleotides. RefSeq lists it as uncharacterized. NCBI's taxonomy places the organism in Eukaryota, Metazoa, Arthropoda, Insecta, Hymenoptera, Vespidae. The record is from RefSeq and is a predicted model, not a curated record. The transcript is spliced from 3 exons.
GUAUCAUCUACGAGUCGCACGCGCCUGAAGCAUCAAGGAAACAUUAAACUAGUUAAACUCUUAUUUUUGUGACAUUUGUUUUGUUCUAUGUACGCGUAAGAGUGAUUAAUUUCGAAAGCUAAAUCAAAAUAAAAACAUCUAUUGUAGAGCAAAACGAUUGAAUCAAACGAAUACAUUUCGUUCAUUAGUUUGUUAGUAACCAUCACCGAGACCAAAGAGAUCCAGAAAUCAGAUAUAAGUACCCAAUAGAUGGAUAAUAAAGCCGUAAGAUUAGUAGGAUACUUAAUAUUUACAUUCUAGGACUUUCUGUUUCCUUCUCUGGGAAGUUAUGUCUUUUGGAUACAUGCCAUAUACUAAUCGUGCCAAUUGUGAGGUAAUGUCAAUGCUAACAUCUAAUGGUUGUUGGUGGAGGAAAAUACCGAUUUAAAAAAGCCUGCCGUUGCCCAGAUUCAAUUUACAGAAUAAUGACUCAUUUUUGGCACCAAUCCCCGGAAAAUCAGUCUAGUUUUACGACCAUCGCCAAUAUCAAAGAAUCGAUCAUUGCUUGCAGGAUCUCGACGUAAUAAACUACACAACUCUGAAUUACGACAUUUUACCAAUUUGAGAUCGUGACAUGACAAUUAUGAGAUCGGAAACUAAAUGUAUCAGUAUGCAUUUAAAUAGGAGUUAACUAAAUAAUAUAGAAUAUGUUUAAACAAAAAAUAUAUACUAAAUAAAUAAAAAAUUCAAAAUUUUAUCGAUUUUUGUAUAGAAUGCUUUUGUAUGAUGAUGAUUACAACCAAGAAACAGAAUUUUGUCUAGCGACUUAUUGCGUAGAACAAGUUAGCAAUAACAUGGCUUAUAUGCAUCAGAAGAAAUACAAAAAUAGAUUUAUGAACGAUAAUACAUCUCUAAUGAGAGUACUCGAUAUACUGGAUCAGGACAGAGUAAUUAAUAUAAGGAUAAUCUAAAAGAUGUAAAAAAAUGAAGAUAAUCUCGAAAAUACUCGUACAAAAAAAUUUGUACAAUAUUCACAUUAAAGUUCUAAAAACAUGUUUCCAUCAAGAAGCUUGACUGUUUUUUCUAUGCAAGUAUUUGCCGCGCUGAUGAUUCCUACAUGUCUUUCAACCUGAACAGUACCAAACAUCAAGAACAAAAAGAAGUACAAAACAAAACAGCUGAAGGUAAAAUCCAACAAUAGAACGAUAGACGUCUCUAUGAUCUCGACUGCAGUGAAGUCGACACAAAUGCGUCAUGCGUUGCGUCUGGGUUGUCAGUAUAUUAUGGGAGCAGACAAUAGAUUCUCCCAGACCGAUUAUCUUUACCAUCAUAAUCAUAAUCCAUCGAGAUGCUAACAUAAUCCGUAGAAUACUAAUCGAAUGCAGCAAUCUUCUUACAGAACAAAUACUGUACUAUAAAUAUAUAGUAUUGAAUUUAGAAAUUAUAAAUUAUAUUACAAACGCAUAAUAGUAACUGACAAGAUUAUAUAUUGCAAUAAACCGGAUAUUACAUUUGUGUAUAGGAAAAUGAAAGCCACAUGUCUAAUCGAUACAGCUGUCCCUAUAACCUUCAAAACACAUGCAAUGAGAAAAUAUACAAAUACACGGAAAUAAACAUUGAAAUAAAAUGUAAAAAUAGAAAUCCAUAUUCUUUCAAUAGUAAUUUCAAUUACAGAAAUAAUAUCUUCAAAUCCUGUCAGAAUAACGUUAAAACUUUGGGAUUCGAUCCGAAUUUAUUUAAAAUUAUACAGAAAACCGUCAUUCUAUAUACUACACGAAUCACUCGCAAAUUUUUUAAUUAAGCUAUUUUAAUAGUGUUCUACAUUUCCUUGCAACAUCAGUUUAAAGCACUGAAAAAUAAUAAGAAGAAGAAUACGAAUAAUAGUAACAGUAAUAAUAAUAUAUAUAACAACUACAACAAGGUAGAAAAAUUAAUUAAUAAGAAAUUGGAAUAACAACAAAGAUGAUCUGUUCGUACGCGUAAGAACUUUUUUGAGAUAGAGUUGAGCAUUAUUAAAUUUUAUAUUUAAUUAAUUAAAUACUUUAAUUAAAAUUUUUA